CGGCGAAUGGGUGAGUAACACGUGCUUAAUCUACCCUUUAGAUUGGAAUACCCAAUGGAAACAUUGGCUAAUGCCGGAUACGCAUGGAAUCGCAUGAUUCCGUUGUGAAAGGAGCCUUUAAAGCUCCGCUAGAGGAUGAGGGUGCGGAACAUUAGUUAGUUGGUAGGGUAAUGGCCUACCAAGACUAUGAUGUUUAGCCGGGUCGAGAGACUGAACGGCCACAUUGGGACUGAGAUACGGCCCAAACUCCUACGGGAGGCAGCAGUAGGGAAUAUUCCACAAUGAGCGAAAGCUUGAUGGAGCGACACAGCGUGCACGAUGAAGGUCUUCGGAUUGUAAAGUGCUGUUAUAGGGAAAGAACACCUGGUUGAGGAAAUGCUUCCAGGCUGACGGUACCCUGUCAGAAAGCGAUGGCUAACUAUGUGCCAGCAGCCGCGGUAAUACAUAGGUCGCAAGCGUUAUCCGGAAUUAUUGGGCGUAAAGCGUUCGUAGGCUGUUUAUUAAGUCUGGAGUCAAAUCCCAGGGCUCAACCCUGGCUCGCUUUGGAUACUGGUAAACUAGAGUUAGAUAGAGGUAAGCGGAAUUCCAUGUGAAGCGGUGAAAUGCGUAGAUAUAUGGAAGAACACCAAAGGCGAAGGCAGCUUACUGGGUCUAUACUGACGCUGAGGGACGAAAGCGUGGGGAGCAAACAGGAUUAGAUACCCUGGUAGUCCACGCCGUAAACGAUGAUCAUUAGUCGGUGGAGAGUUCACUGACGCAGCUAACGCAUUAAAUGAUCCGCCUGAGUAGUAUGCUCGCAAGAGUGAAACUUAAAGGAAUUGACGGGGACCCGCACAAGCGGUGGAGCAUGUGGUUUAAUUUGAAGAUACGCGGAGAACCUUACCCACUCUUGACAUCCUUCGCAAUGCUAUAGAGAUAUAGCGGAGGUUAACGGAGUGACAGAUGGUGCAUGGUUGUCGUCAGCUCGUGUCGUGAGAUGUUUGGUCAAGUCCUGCAACGAGCGCAACCCCUAUCUUUAGUUACUAACGAGUCAUGUCGAGGACUCUAGAGAUACUGCCUGGGUAACUGGGAGGAAGGUGGGGAUGACGUCAAAUCAUCAUGCCUCUUACGAGUGGGGCAACACACGUGCUACAAUGGUCGGUACAAAGAGAAGCAAUAUGGCGACAUGGAGCAAAUCUCAAAAAGCCGAUCUCAGUUCGGAUUGGAGUCUGCAAUUCGACUCCAUGAAGUCGGAAUCGCUAGUAAUCGCAGAUCAGCUACGCUGCGGUGAAUACGUUCUCGGGUCUUGUACACACCGCCCGUCACUCCAUGGGAGCUGGUAAU
This 1323-nucleotide ribosomal RNA is filed under the name Mycoplasmopsis arginini. Its description in RNAcentral is "Mycoplasma arginini partial 16S ribosomal RNA". It matches the Rfam family "Bacterial small subunit ribosomal RNA", at positions 96 to 1418 of the family's 1533-position model. The record is from RNAcentral. Lineage: Bacteria; Bacillati; Mycoplasmatota; Mycoplasmoidales; Metamycoplasmataceae.